AGUUGCCGGGCGGGGGAGUGCGCGUCCGGUUUUUCUCAGGGGACGUUGAAAUUAUUUUUGUAACGGGAGUCGGGAGAGGACGGGGCGUGCCCCGACGUGCGCGCGCGUCGUCCUCCCCGGCGCUCCUCCACAGCUCGCUGGCUCCCGCCGCGGAAAGGCGUCAUGCCGCCCAAAACCCCCCGAAAAACGGCCGCCACCGCCGCCGCUGCCGCCGCGGAACCCCCGGCACCGCCGCCGCCGCCCCCUCCUGAGGAGGACCCAGAGCAGGACAGCGGCCCGGAGGACCUGCCUCUCGUCAGGCUUGAGUUUGAAGAAACAGAAGAACCUGAUUUUACUGCGUUAUGUCAGAAAUUAAAGAUACCAGAUCAUGUCAGAGAGAGAGCUUGGUUAACUUGGGAGAAAGUUUCAUCUGUGGAUGGAGUAUUGGGAGGUUAUAUUCAAAAGAAAAAGGAACUGUGGGGAAUCUGUAUCUUUAUUGCAGCAGUUGACCUAGAUGAGAUGUCGUUCACUUUUACUGAGCUACAGAAAAACAUAGAAAUCAGUGUCCAUAAAUUCUUUAACUUACUAAAAGAAAUUGAUACCAGUACCAAAGUUGAUAAUGCUAUGUCAAGACUGUUGAAGAAGUAUGAUGUAUUGUUUGCACUCUUCAGCAAAUUGGAAAGGACAUGUGAACUUAUAUAUUUGACACAACCCAGCAGUUCGAUAUCUACUGAAAUAAAUUCUGCAUUGGUGCUAAAAGUUUCUUGGAUCACAUUUUUAUUAGCUAAAGGGGAAGUAUUACAAAUGGAAGAUGAUCUGGUGAUUUCAUUUCAGUUAAUGCUAUGUGUCCUUGACUAUUUUAUUAAACUCUCACCUCCCGUGUUGCUCAAAGAACCAUAUAGUAAGUAUUUAAUUUAUGCCCCUUUUACUUUCUCAUUCAGCAGUUGCUUAUUGAAUGUCUAGUGGGUACCAAACAUGGUUCUAAGGCUGACAGGAUGAUAAAAAAUAAAUCAGACAUGGACUUUGCCCAUAAGUAGUGUAAGUUAUAGAAGGAAAGAUAAGACAUGGAAACAAAUGAUUAGAGUAUAUGGUAGAAAGUGGUUUGGGUCAAAAUACAACAAAUGGAGGUUUGGGAGACAAGAAAGUUUUUCCAGCUGUGGAAGACCAAAGAAUACCAUAUAAAAGAAGUAGUAUUUGAAAUUAACAUGGAAGAGUGGUUAGGAUUGGGGAAAGGCAUUCUCAGUAAAGUGUUGGGGGAGGGCAUUCCCAGUGAAGAAAAGCAAGAAACAAGAAAAAGAUAUGAAUGAAAUUGCAUGGGGAAGAGUGGCCUAUUCUAAGGGAACAGCUUAACUAAGUUUUUAUUACUAUUGGAUGUUGUAAUAACUAUGUAUUUUUUUGUAUAUAAGCUAUAACUCAUACUAUUUCAGUGGGUGAUGAGUGAUGAGAUGGGAAGUAUAUUUAAAUAAAAAUAACUUGCUAAUAUAAUUAGAUAGCAUUAAGGAAGUAUGAGU
This 1490-nucleotide small RNA is filed under the name Pan troglodytes (chimpanzee). Its description in RNAcentral is "retained intron". The record is from RNAcentral. Lineage: Eukaryota; Metazoa; Chordata; Mammalia; Primates; Hominidae.